Long non-coding RNA from Ailuropoda melanoleuca (giant panda), 1029 nucleotides. RefSeq lists it as uncharacterized. Lineage: Eukaryota; Metazoa; Chordata; Mammalia; Carnivora; Ursidae. The transcript is spliced from 3 exons. The record is from RefSeq and is a predicted model, not a curated record.
UAGUCUCUUUCAAUUUUUUUAAUGUUGGCCGUGGCUCUCUACAUUGAUUUCACAUCAAUUACAUCAGUGGCUUGCGACCCUCCGUUGGCGAAACAACGUCGUGGGCAACUCCCUGGAAGACCAGAGGGGGUUUUCAGCGCAGCUGUACGGGCACGAGUGUCGGUGGCUUCCUGGGCUCUCCAGCGCCUGCUGUUGAUUUUCCACACAGAGGGGAAAUGCCGAUGUUCUAAAUCAUGGGAAGUCGCACACUUACAACAACAACAAUGACCAGGCACUGCAGGUCACCGCCUAACCCUCGCUAGGGCCCCAUGAGUGAAAAAUCAGCUCUUCUUAGGUCUCGGGCCUGCCGGCUUUUGGACUGGAACUACCCAUCGGCCACCUGGAUCUCCCGUGUGUCCACUGAAGAUCGUGGGACUUCUCAGCCUCUGUAAUCAUGUGGGCCGAUUCCUUAUAAUAAUCUCUUUAUACAUAUGUCUCUCUGUGUGUAGGUGUGUGCACAUAUGCAGAUCUGUGUAUGCAUGUGUGUAUGUCUGUGUGUGUGUGUUCUUGGUUCUGUUUCUCUGGAGAACCCUGGCUAGUAAGUAAUUUCCCCAGUUGCCACCUUCCUCAGCUUACCCUUUGUAUUACUGUUUUCUUAACGUUUUCCUUUAAAUUGACUUACUUAUUUUGUAGUAGGUUCUCGAGGGAACUUGGUAUCUGUGCUUGAAAUUGAAAACCACUAUCACUUACCAUGAACAGUUGCUGAAGAACAUUGUGCCCCGUGGGUUGUCACUGUGGCUGGUGAAGCUCAGCCUCGGAGGCCUGCUCUCCUUCUCUGUUAAGUAGGGAGAUUAGCACGUGUUGGUGUUAAAGACAGACGAGCAACUAAGAGGGCUGCAACAUCAGGAAAGUUCUCACCAGGUGAUUUACGAUUUCAGGCCUUAUGCUUCUCUCAUGGGCAGGAGCAGUGGCUGAUCCCAGCCCCGUGAGCCGACCUAUAGCCUCGGCUUCCCUCAAAGGUGGAGGUCAGGAGAAGGCCAGGCAAUGAUU